AUCCAGCUCACGAGUCCCAAAUAGGACGAAACGCGCGUCCUGGAU
Non-coding RNA from Schistosoma mansoni, 45 nucleotides. Lineage: Eukaryota; Metazoa; Platyhelminthes; Trematoda; Strigeidida; Schistosomatidae. The record is from Rfam.